GGAGGGUGCGAGCGUUGUUCGGAAUUAUUGGGCGUAAAGCGCGUGUAGGCUGUUUAUUAAGUCUGAUGUGAAAGCCCUGGGCUCAACCUGGGAAGUGCAUUGGAUACUGGUAGACUUGAGUACGGGAGAGGGCAGUGGAAUUCCCAGUGUAGGAGUGAAAUCCGUAGAUAUUGGGAGGAACACCGGUGGCGAAGGCGGCUGCCUGGACCGAUACUGACGCUGAGACGCGAAAGCGUGGGGAGCAAACAGGAUUAGAUACCCUGGUAGUCCACGCCGUAAACGAUGAGUACUAGGUGUUGCGGGUAUUGACCCCUGCAGUGCCGUAGCUAACGCAUUAAGUACUCCGCCUGGGAAGUACGGUCGCAAGACUA
This 371-nucleotide ribosomal RNA is filed under the name uncultured bacterium. Its description in RNAcentral is "bacterial SSU rRNA". It matches the Rfam family "Bacterial small subunit ribosomal RNA", at positions 527 to 896 of the family's 1533-position model. The record is from RNAcentral.